Molecule: ribosomal RNA, 497 nt
Filed under: uncultured bacterium
Lineage: Bacteria
Description: partial 16S ribosomal RNA
Rfam family: Bacterial small subunit ribosomal RNA
Source: RNAcentral
GAUGAACGCUGGCGGCGUGCCUAAUACAUGCAAGUCGAGCGAACGGACGAGAAGCUUGCUUCUCUGAUGUUAGCGGCGGACGGGAGAGUAACACGUGGAUCACCUACCUAUAAGACAGGGAUCACUUCGGGAAACCGGUGCUAAAACCGGCUGAUCUUUUGAUCCGCAUGGUUCAAAAGUGCAUGACGGUCUUGCUGUCACUUGUAGCUGAUUCCCGGAUGCGUUAGCUAGUUGGUAAGGUAACGGCGUACCAAGGCAACGAUGCAUAGCCGACCUGAGCGGGGGAUCGGAGGGAGUGGGACUGAGACACGGUCCAGACUCCGACGGGAGGCAGCAGGAGGGAAUCUGCGGGGAUGGGCGAAAGCCUGACGGAGCAACGCCGCGUGAGUGAUGAAGGUCUUCGGAUGGUAAAACUGUGUUAUUAGGGAAGAAGAUAUGUGUAAGUAACUGUGCAGAUCUUGACGGUACCUAAUCAGAAAGCCACGGCUAACUACGUG